Molecule: ribosomal RNA, 490 nt
Filed under: uncultured bacterium
Lineage: Bacteria
Description: partial 16S ribosomal RNA
Rfam family: Bacterial small subunit ribosomal RNA
Source: RNAcentral
AUUGAACGCUGGCGGCAGGCCUAACACAUGCAAGUCGAACGGUAACAGGAAACAGCUUGCUGUUUCGCUGACGAGUGGCGGACGGGUGAGUAAUGUCUGGGAAACUGCCUGAUGGAGGGGGAUAACUACUGGAAACGGUAGCUAAUACCGCAUAACGUCGCAAGACCAAAGAGGGGGACCUUCGGGCCUCUUGCCAUCAGAUGUGCCCAGAUGGGAUUAGCUAGUAGGUGGGGUAACGGCUCACCUAGGCGACGAUCCCUAGCUGGUCUGAGAGGAUGACCGCCAACACGGGAACGGAGCCACGGCCAAGCCUCCUGCGGGAGGAGCAAGUGGGGAAUAUUGAACAAGGGGGGCAGGCUGGAUGCAGCCAGGCGGGGUGUAGAAGAAAGGCGUGGGGUUUGAAAAGUCCUUGCGGGGGGGAGAAGGGGAGUAAAGUUAAUACCUUGGCUCAUGGACGUACCCCGAAAAAAAAGCCCCGGCUAACCCCGGC